This is a long non-coding RNA of Etheostoma cragini (Arkansas darter), 207 nucleotides long. RefSeq lists it as uncharacterized. Lineage: Eukaryota; Metazoa; Chordata; Actinopteri; Perciformes; Percidae. The transcript has 2 exons. The record is from RefSeq and is a predicted model, not a curated record.
AGAGUAUGUGGGUUAUCUAUUUUUCAAUGUGAAUUUGUUAUUUUAUAGUCUUUAUAUAAUUCAGUACUAAGAACUUUGUGGAUAGGAACUCUUUCAGUCUUGAAUGCCUUUUACUACAUGUCUUGAAUUGCUUUAUGAAUCUUCUCCCAAAAGGAAUACACAGCUUUACAAUACCAAUAUAAAUGCAUAAAUGCUACUAAUUCAGUU